UACGGAGGAUGCGAGCGUUAUCCGGAUUUAUUGGGUUUAAAGGGUGCGUAGGCGGGUUCUUAAGUCAGUUGUGAAAGUUUGCGGCUCAACCGUAAAAUUGCAAUUGAUACUGGGAACCUUGAGUAUGGCAAAGGUUAGCGGAAUUCGUGGUGUAGCGGUGAAAUGCUUAGAUAUCACGAAGAACUCCGAUUGCGUAGGCAGCUGACUGGACCAUAACUGACGCUGAGGCA
This 230-nucleotide ribosomal RNA is filed under the name uncultured microorganism. RNAcentral's name for it is "partial 16S ribosomal RNA". It matches the Rfam family "Bacterial small subunit ribosomal RNA", at positions 524 to 753 of the family's 1533-position model. The record is from RNAcentral.